Molecule: long non-coding RNA, 276 nt
Organism: Alosa sapidissima (American shad)
Lineage: Eukaryota; Metazoa; Chordata; Actinopteri; Clupeiformes; Clupeidae
Exons: 3
Source: RefSeq, a predicted model, not a curated record
UAGUUAAUUGGCAUGUCUAUUUAUACAUCGGGGCCUUUACGUGCGGACUGUUUACUUCCGGUAGUAAGGAGCAGAGAAUCAGAACGCUGGUGCUGCAGUGUGUCGGGUCCUAGGUUUGCGAGGCGACAUUAUAAAUCAAGAGCCUGAACCGAGUCAGCAUUCCGUCUGGGAACGAGGUGUAGGUGGCGAUCACAGCGGGGACAUUUGAGGUGGAUUGUGGACACUGAUACAGACCCUUGGGCUGCAGCUCUGUGUAGCCACUGUUUUUCUCCUAUU